UACACAGGACUGUCUCCUGAGCUCCUAGCU
Molecule: non-coding RNA, 30 nt
Filed under: Rattus norvegicus (Norway rat)
Lineage: Eukaryota; Metazoa; Chordata; Mammalia; Rodentia; Muridae
Source: RNAcentral